Molecule: long non-coding RNA, 304 nt
Filed under: Citrus sinensis (sweet orange)
Lineage: Eukaryota; Viridiplantae; Streptophyta; Magnoliopsida; Sapindales; Rutaceae
Description: long non-coding RNA (CSIN_LNC004486)
Source: RNAcentral
CUUGUUGAAACCUGUAAUCUCGUCUUAUCUACCCAUAGAUUGAUUAAAAAUUGCUAACUAAAUCCGCUAAAAAUGAAUAUAAAAAAAUAGAGUUAAACCUAAGGGUUUUUUUGCAAUUUCCAAUGGUAUCUGACUUUGGCUUGUGAGAGUCAUGAAGAAAGGCAACUGCAGCUUAGAAUGUCUCGAAGUUUGAUUUAUCUCAGCAGUGACUGCGAGUGUGUAAGAGUAUUACCUCAUAAGCAAAUGAUCAAAUAGGUGGAGGUCCAAUGCAAGCUCGUUGAGGCUUCAAUGUUGCCCCAAAUCU